This 465-nucleotide ribosomal RNA is filed under the name uncultured bacterium. RNAcentral describes it as "partial 16S ribosomal RNA". It matches the Rfam family "Bacterial small subunit ribosomal RNA", at positions 338 to 795 of the family's 1533-position model. The record is from RNAcentral.
CCUACGGGUGGCAGCAGUGGGGAAUAUUGCACAAUGGGGGAAACCCUGAUGCAGCGACGCCGCGUGAGUGAAGAAGUAAUUCGUUACGUAAAGCUCUAUCAGCAGGGAAGAACGGUCACUGUGCUAAUCAGCAGUGAAUUGACGGUACCUGCAAAGGAAGCACCGGCUAACUCCGUGCCAGCAGCCGCGGUAAUACGGAGGGUGCGAGCGUUAAUCGGAAUUACUGGGCGUAAAGCGCUCGUAGGCGGUAUGUCAAGUCAAGGGUGAAAUCCCCGCGCUCAACGUGGGAACUGCCUUUGAAACUGGCAAACUGGAGUGUGUGAGAGGAUAGUGGAAUUCCAGGUGUAGGAGUGAAAUCCGUAGAUAUCUGGAGGAACAUCAGUGGCGAAGGCGACUAUCUGGCACAUAACUGACGCUGAGGAGCGAAAGCGUGGGUAGCAAACAGGAUUAGAUACCCGAGUAGUC